AGCAGCCGCGGUAAUUCCAGCUCCAAUAGCGUAUAUUAAAGUUGUUGCAGUUAAAAAGCUCGUAGUUGAAUUUCGGGAUCAAAUUGUCGGUCGUGCCUCGGUACGCACUGGUAUUAUUGGUUCCUACCUUCUGAAGAACCGCGAUGUCAUUAAUUUGGUGUCGUGGGGAAUCAGGACUGUUACUUUGAAAAAAAUUAGAGUGUUUAAAGCAGGCUUACGCUUGAAUACAUUAGCAUGGAAUAAUGAAAUAGGACGUUUGAUUCUAUUUUGUUGGUUUCUAGGAUUGACGUAAUGAUUAAUAGGGAUAGUUGGGGGCAUUAGUAUUCAAUUGUCAGAGGUGAAAUUCUUGGAUUUAUUGAAGACUAACUACUGCGAAAGCAUUUGCCAAGGAUGUUUUCAUUAAUCAAGAACGAAAGUUAGGGGAUCGAAGACGAUCAGAUACCGUCGUAGUCUUAACCAUAAACUAUGCCGACUAGGGAUCGGAUGAUGUUAAUUUUUUAAUGACUCAUUCGGCGCCUUA
RNAcentral lists this ribosomal RNA (520 nucleotides) under uncultured Glomus. RNAcentral describes it as "SSU rRNA". It matches the Rfam family "Eukaryotic small subunit ribosomal RNA", at positions 569 to 1090 of the family's 1831-position model. The record is from RNAcentral. Lineage: Eukaryota; Fungi; Glomeromycota; Glomeromycetes; Glomerales; Glomeraceae.